This 329-nucleotide ribosomal RNA is filed under the name Acanthamoeba jacobsi. RNAcentral's name for it is "SSU rRNA". It matches the Rfam family "Eukaryotic small subunit ribosomal RNA", at positions 782 to 1086 of the family's 1831-position model. The record is from RNAcentral. Lineage: Eukaryota; Discosea; Longamoebia; Acanthamoebidae.
AUUUCUUCUGCCACCGAAUACAUUAGCAUGGGAUAAUGGAAUAGGACCCUGUCCUCCUAUUUUGCGUGUUGGUUUUCGAGGACCGGGUAAUGAUUAAUAGGGAUAGUUGGGGGCAUUAAUAUUUAAUUGUCAGAGGUGAAAUUCUUGGAUUUAUGAAAGAUUGACUUCUGCGAAAGCAUCUGCCAAGGAUGUUUUCAUUAAUCAAGAACGAAAGUUAGGGGAUCGAAGACGAUCAGAUACCGUCGUAGUCUUAACCAUAAACGAUGCCGACCAGCGAUUAGGAGACGUUGAAUACAAAACACCACCGUCGGGUCGGCCGUCCUUGGCCG